This 685-nucleotide long non-coding RNA is filed under the name Daucus carota (carrot). RNAcentral's name for it is "long non-coding RNA (DCAR_LNC004463)". The record is from RNAcentral. Lineage: Eukaryota; Viridiplantae; Streptophyta; Magnoliopsida; Apiales; Apiaceae.
UGUUAAGAGGCCCCCAAUUUUAUACUAGUAUAUAUAUGUCUAGGUAUACAUCUGAAAAAAAAAUAAUUUAGUUACAUUAUAUUAAUAAAAAAAUCAAAAAUAAGAUGGGAAUUAAUAUCUAAAUUUUGUGAAAAAAUUGAAAAUUUUGUGUGAUCAACUUUUCAAAAACAUAAUCAAAAUACUAAUACAAUAUUAUUAAUCAUACUUUAUUUUUUGUGCUAACUUAAUAAAUACUUACUUAAAUCCAUAACCUAAUAAAUAUGAAAAUGAUUGUUUUAUGUGGAUGUAACCUCAUUCUUGUGAAUAUAAAAUAAAAAGAAACACUAGAGAUUUUAUUGUUCUUUAAUUUUCCCUUCAGGUUAAUUAAUUUUUAAAUUCAGAUUUAAUAAAAUUAUAUAUAUAUAUAUAUAUAUGAAUAUUAUAUAACUAAUUUAGUUUUAAUUUACAUAGUAUGUAAUUUUGUUUGCCUACGAUUUUUAUAUAAUUAUAUAUGUUUAUUUAGACAAAUAAACAUAUAUAAUUAUAUGUUGUAGUGUGCAUGAAGACUAGUGAAACCUGAUGUAAAAAUAUUAUUUUGUAGCAAGUAAAUUAUGUAGUAGUGUGUUUAGGGUGAUUUUAUGUUAAUUUGUAAUGUUUAAAUAUUGUAAAAUUUUGUAUUUGUAUUAUUAAUAUAAUAUCUAAAAAA